UUGAUUGUGAAAGGUUGCCUCCUGUGCUGGCUUUUGCAAGUGCACGGUGGUGACUUUCAUUCCACCCCCUUUGUGAACCUUUGGCCUCUUGCUGGCUUUUGCUGGCAGAGGAUUUUUUACACAAACUCGAAUGUAAUGAGAUAUACUGUUGUGCGCAAGCACAAAUGUA
RNAcentral lists this unclassified non-coding RNA (169 nucleotides) under uncultured Sebacina. Its description in RNAcentral is "sequence contains ITS1". The record is from RNAcentral. Lineage: Eukaryota; Fungi; Basidiomycota; Agaricomycetes; Sebacinales; Sebacinaceae.